Lycium barbarum (goji berry) is the source of this 174-nucleotide long non-coding RNA. RefSeq lists it as uncharacterized. The record is from RefSeq and is a predicted model, not a curated record. The transcript is spliced from 3 exons. NCBI's taxonomy places the organism in Eukaryota, Viridiplantae, Streptophyta, Magnoliopsida, Solanales, Solanaceae.
AAGAGGAGAUGAAGAAGAAAUACCCUCAUUUGUUCCCUAUGCCCUCAGUUGGUUUGGAAGAAAGAGCCCUUGGUUCAUCAUCUUGAUCAUAUAGUCAAGUGAAGAAGAUUGAGUAAGAAGAUUUUUGACGAAACGGGAAGUGAGUUUGGAAAGGCGUAAGGAGCUUGAAAGGUA